Molecule: ribosomal RNA, 374 nt
Filed under: Cervus hanglu hanglu (Kashmir red deer)
Lineage: Eukaryota; Metazoa; Chordata; Mammalia; Artiodactyla; Cervidae
Description: partial 12S ribosomal RNA
Rfam family: Bacterial small subunit ribosomal RNA
Source: RNAcentral
AAACAAAACUAUUCGCCAGAGUACUACCGGCAACAGCUUAAAACUCAAAGGACUUGGCGGUGCUUUUAUACCCUUCUAGAGGAGCCUGUUCUAUAAUCGAUAAACCCCGAUAAACCUCACCAUUCCUUGCUAAUACAGUCUAUAUACCGCCAUCUUCAGCGAACCCUAAAAAGGUACAAAAGUAAGCACAAUCAUAAUACAUAAAAACGUUAGGUCAAGGUGUAACCUAUGGAACGGAAAGAAAUGGGCUACAUUUUCUAAUCUAAGAAAAUCCAGCACGAAAGUUAUUAUGAAAUUAAUAACCAAAGGAGGAUUUAGCAGUAAACUAAGAAUAGAGUGCUUAGUUGAAUUAGGCCAUGAAGCACGCACACACC